Molecule: long non-coding RNA, 1608 nt
Organism: Papaver somniferum (opium poppy)
Lineage: Eukaryota; Viridiplantae; Streptophyta; Magnoliopsida; Ranunculales; Papaveraceae
Exons: 6
Source: RefSeq, a predicted model, not a curated record
UUAAACCCUUUGAUGCCAUUCAAUGGCAACAUCAACACUUUCACUAGCUUCCAUUUCCUUCUCAUCAGCCAAACUUCUAUCUAGUAUCUACUUCUUCUUCAUCCCUCGUGUCAUUCACUCCUUAAGUUUUCUUUCAAAACACAUCUUGUAAUUUAAACAGAGAUGAGAUUCUGAGAAGAACCCAUGAGAAUUUAUCAGUUUAGGAUUGAACUUCAGAAUUUUCAAGUUCAUUUUUUGAAGGAGGUGUUGGAGAAGAUGAUGAAACACCAUCAUCUGGUGGUAUUUUAGGAGCUACUGAAGAGAAAUAAGAACCUCAAUGUCCACUUGGUUUGAGACAAUAUGAUAAAACUAUGGAUGUUUUAAGACCUGAUAUGACUCAGAAGUAUGAAGAGGUCUUGCCAUACCCUUGCGGAUGUUUGAUGGAAUGGACCAGGAUGCAGUUCCAAAGUAACAACCUGAGGGGCUUCAGGAAGGUCCUACCUUGACUGAACAUGAUGCGCCAAAGGUUCAAAGGAAAAAGAGUAAGGAUGAGCGGCAAAGAGGAGACACAAUAUCUGAUACAUUUGUCGGAAAUGAAAGCAACUAAAGAAGGGAUGCAGUUGUGUGUGUAAACCACGUUAACGACGUCAAUGGUCUAGCUUUUGUGGAAGAUAUCCAUAUGGAGAGCUUUAGUGUUUCAAUUAGAGGUCGUGAACUCAUUCAGGAUGGUCCAGUCACACUCUCUUUUGGGAGGCAUUAUGGUCGGCUCGGACGAAAUGGUACAAGGAGCCACUUCCUCUUCAGCCUCAGGUAUAUGUCAAUGCAUGCCAUAGAUGGUAUUCCUAAGAAAACGUGGAGCAAGAAGUUUUUCGUGAUGAUACAUUAGUUAUGCAAUCUGUUCUUAAUGCGUGUGCUGAGAGAUUUCAACUCCGGAUGUAAGAAGCUCGUCUAACAGCACUUCAGAGAGAUUUUGAGUUCAAGACCGCAGCAGAAAAGAAAACCGCUGAGGAGAUGAACAAAGUUGAUGUUUCACAAAAGCUUGAUCAAGUAUAUAAACGGAGUUCAUUGAUGCAGAUUCAGCGGAAUCACGGGCAGCUUCCAUUCUUGCGGUUCGUAUUGCUGUCUUUAGUCAGCACCAAGUUGAUUGGCUCGAUUUAACUUCAAAUCCCCUUUUAUACAUGAUGUACUGCAAUCCUGUGAGUUCCUGAUCUGCGCUUUUCUUGCUUAAUUUAUAAUAUUAAAACUGCACACACAUGCACACCCAUAUCAAAGUCAAUGAGUUUAAUCUUUAUUUUUCUUUUCCAAGGAGUCCUAACUGGGAUCUGACUUGGGUUCUUUGGGUGUACGGGAAUCUUACACUCCAACCUAUGUAUGUACACUUCGUCAGGGCCUAUCUUUGGUUGACAAACUGUCCGAGUCAUAAUUGUUUUCUGUCAGAUAUUAUCAGUGGAGACCGAUUCACAAGUGGGGUUUUGCCCGUCUCAUUGUUGCGUCUGGGCAUGGAUUUGGAAUGCUGUGAAGGCGCUGAUACAUGUAAGUCAUGACGAGCAUUUGAUAUCCUCAAGUGUUGGAGACCUGUCCGUGGUAUCUGAUAGCAAGAUUGCAGCAUUCUCUGGAGGUUUUUUUUUC